This 3753-nucleotide long non-coding RNA is filed under the name Homo sapiens (human). RNAcentral's name for it is "HSALNT0024168". The record is from RNAcentral. Lineage: Eukaryota; Metazoa; Chordata; Mammalia; Primates; Hominidae.
CGCGCGGCUCCACGUGCGCAGAGCCGGGCGCGCGGAGACUGCGCUGCUCCAGCCCGGGAAAAGUUCUAGAAUAGAGGCGCGGCGCAAGUCAGGGGGCCGCCUUGGAAACCGCAGCAAGGGCUCCUUGUGGGCUCCAGGCUGUUGGAGAGUGAGGGAGCCUCCUCCCCUUUCCUUCCCGUGGAGUAAACAGAGCUUGGCAGGGCUGGAGGCUUUCUUCCUUUUAAAAAGUGCCAUUCUGAACAACGAUACAAAGUGAAAAAAUAAAUUUUUUAAAAAAGAAAGGGAAAAACUACAAUUUGACCAUUCUGACCAGCCUCCUUGUUCCAACUGGCCUCUUGAUUUGUAUAAAGAUAAUGGGGUCCGGCGGCCCCCUUGAUGCAUGAAUUGCACGCUGGGCAUAAUGAACUUAUUGUGCGAAAGCACUUUGGACUUCGGACUGUGUUCCUAUGUCAGAAUUUUACUGUGGUUUGUAAGAUAAACUGGAAGGAAACAAACUCGUGGUUAACUCUUGUCAAUACGUGUCUUGAACCAAGCAAAGUGACAUUUCCUACCUGUGGCUUUGACUUUAAGCUGCACAAAAGCUCACACAUACAGUCGGCUCAGGCAGACGGCCCAAGACAAGCCUGUGCCAAAGAAAUGCUGAUUUAGUCUGACCCAGACAAUCUCUACUCCCACAUGUCACUUCUCUGCAGAACUCUUACUAGUAUGGCAAAUACUUUAAAAAUCAUACAAUAAAAGAAGGCAAAACCUCAGUAAUUUGAGGUUCACUUUUAAUAAACUCUUUCCAUGCAUUAAAAUAAAUUGAGGCCCUGAGCUCUGGCGAAAUGUUUCCGGGUUUUUAAUUCCCACCGCCCCCCCACCCCGGAGGCAUAAAUAGCCACAUACGCAAUUCAAAGUACUCUAUUUGAACUAGUAUAGGAAAGAUGUUUUCUAUAGAUAUUGCAGAUAAAUUUGCAAUGACUUAAAUAUUUAUCUGCUAAAGUUGCUGAGUGCCUCCACAACAAAACCGAACUCAUUUUUUGUGCACGAUGGGCAUCUGAAUGCUACCUGAUGGUGAUGAUAUAGAAAUACUAAUUGCUAAGUAAAAGUGGUAAGUGAUGUGAUCUACAGAUUAUGUAAUGUAGUUCAUUUCCCCCAAAAUGUAAACUAUAUUUAGAAAUAUUCAAAUGUGACAUUAUUACCCUAUACAGGAUGUCUUAUCUCAGCAUCAAGGGCGUCUGUAGAGCUGCUGGAGGAGGCUCUUUAGAUUACGCAAUCUAACUUCUGACAGCCCAUUCAAAGGAUGAGAACCGGUGCCUUGAAGCUCUCAAUUUAAACUAGGAAUCCUGUAGUCUAGUCUCUAGACUUAUCUGACCUAGGCAGAAAUCAUCUCCUAGAGGCUUUUCAUGGCUGAUUUUGUGAUGUUUUACUUGCACUGAAGAUUUAUUAUUCCAUGUUUUGAGUUAGUGUUAUACAGUGCCAUUCUAUAUAUUUUCCAAAUAAAUGUUUGUCUUACAGAAGAAACUGUUUAUACCAUUCUAAUAGGGUUGUUUAAUAAGGAAAUUUUACUCAGUUGGGUUUUGGAUUAAAAAUAAAAGAACAGCUUUUAAGAUACAAUGUCUAAAUGAUUCUCAAUAAUGAUCUGUCUAUGGUAUAGUUACUUUUUGUCCUAAAAUACCUUUUCUGUGGGUUGUAUGGAUUGUUUUAUGUUGUGCCAGGCAGAUGUGCAUAAUUUUCUGAUUAAAACCAGUGCAAAUACAGACUUCAUAUUCUAUAAUCUUUUAAAGAGACAAGUUACACUUCAAAUCAAACAAUCAGAGAGCUGUUUCAAAUCAAGCAUUUUAAGUUAAGUUGUAUUGACAUGGGGAGGGAGCAGAUGACACACCUAAUGAGUUAAAACAAUGUUCACUGUUAAAUUAGGUAUAAAUUAAUGUAAUAACUAGGGGUAGUGUGGGUAUCCCUGACAAAUUAUGGAUUUAUCUGAGGAUUAAUGGAGGAAUCCACAGAUAAUCCAUAAAUCUACCCAUUUUCUAUCUUCUAACCGCUUAGCGAGUAAUUUAUAAAUUGUCUAUUUGUGUGCUUUUUAAGUUACAGUGAGGGGUUCAGACAUAUUAAGGAAAAUGCAGGCUGUCAAGAGAAACAGCAACAAGGGAUCUAUAGAGUUUGUAAUCUGGAAAGUCACACCCGUAAUUUUUAUUUGAUUGUAGUACCAUUGCUGUCAGAGGCCUAACCAGUGGCACUGAAGGAGUUAAAACAGUCCCCACCCCCACUCCCGAUUUCUAGAACCCCACGAUAAAUUGGGUAAAUAUGUAUUCCAUUCAUUGGUGCAUCUGACCUUGGUCUGUGACAGAGGAAAGGCGUGUCUUCUCAUACUGUUCCCUAUGAACAAAAGGCAAGCAAAUGAGGGUGACUCAGGACUUCUCAUGGCCUACACACAACUGAACAUUUUUCUGAAUGAUUCCACGUAUACACUUAGGAAUCAGGAAGAGAAACAUUUUACUCUUCACUAACCAAAUAAAACCAUCUAUAAAUCAUAUGCAAAACAACUUUUGAGUAAAGAGGGACUUAAAAGUCUAGGAAUUAAAAAAGGAUUUCCAUAGUUUCCUUUUAACUCUCCCCCAACUCCCCUUUGGGGAAUAAACAAAGACAUCUGCCACAUCAAGAGUCUGGUUUGUUUUCUUAACUGAAAACGAAAUGCAGUCAUUAAAGUAUAUCUUUGGGAAGAGGUUUUGAAAUGUUGAGAAUUACUUCUACAAGCUGCACUAUUUUCAAUUUCACUAAAAAUAAAAUUUAGCAUUUUUGUUACAAAAACAUAGUUCAUCCUAUUUCUUUUAACCUAGUUAUUACAUGAAAAAUUGUUUAUCAUCUGUAACUUGCUAAGAAUAUGGUUUCUUGAAAACCUUAAAUGGACUAAUAAUGAAAAACUAUUAAAAUAUAUAUAGUGAUGGGCCCCUCCUAGUUACCAGACCACCCUAGUGUAAAUAUAUUCAAGUACACAUUCACUGUUGCUGUUUAAUUUAAAACAUAUAGUAACUCUAUGUAUAUCCUAGCCUCCAACUCUUUAUGAGUUUCACAACUUCCUUUCAUAGAGAAGUCUGCCAAGCCAUUAAUCAAUAAAAAGAGUAAAAGCUGCAACAUCUAGGAAAUUUCUUAUUAUAUGAGAGUAGCCAGUAAAAUGUGUCUCAGUGCUUUCUACCUUUUAUCUCUAUUUAUAAAUUUAAGUUUCAGGAUAUCAAUAAAGCUCAUACAUGGCUUUGGCUUUUUUCAUUCCUAAGCUUUCCAAAGUAUAAGGCUUUUUUUUUUUUUAAAUCCCUUUUGUCUUUAGCGCAUUUCCUAUGGCCCAACGUAGCUGUUUUAUUCCAAAGCUUUUCAAAGAGCAGCUCCAGGUCUUGAGAGUCUUUCCAGUGUCGUCACUAUCUUCUCUUUCCAAUCUACCAUUGCAGAAUGGCUGGUUCUGCUGCUAGUUGAAAAAUAAACAAAUGCUUUCUAGCCGUACUUUGUUCAGCUCUUUUAUCUGUGUCCCCUAUCCAGUUGCCCUUUCCGCAGUCCCUGGCACUUCUAUUUUAUACCAUCAGUUGCCUUUUUGUUCCAUGUCUUUUAUCUCCUGAAGUUCAGGCAAACCCCAACCCCAAACCCACACAUCCUUUAGUCACAUUGCCAUUAGUGAUUAAAACAAUAGCCAUUCUAAGCUUGCUUUAGAAAAUUAAAAAAGGCCUCAGAAAAUGUUCAGUGCUCCCAAUUUUAUUUUUAUUUAAUGCUAAAAGUUAAAGAAAA